AUGAGCUAUGUGUGGCGGAGUAUUCUGCAAGGGGUGGAAGUGGUAAAAGCCGGUAUGAUUUGGCGUGUUGGUUCGGGUAACAACAUUAGAAUAUGGGAGGAUCCCUGGAUCCCAUCUGUUGACACUAGGCGUCCGGGCACACUCCAAGGGAAUCACCUUCUGACCACUGUGAAUGAGCUCAUCGAUCCGGACAGGAAUGAUUGGGAUUCUCAGCUUGUUCAUCAGACCUUUGCUCCAAAUGAUGCAGCUGCAAUCUUGGCUAUCCCAAUCUGUGAGCAUUACGACGACUUUGUGGCGUGGCAUUUUGAUAGCAAAGGUAGGUUCUCAGUCAAGUCGGCAUAUCGGGUGUAUGCGAACAUUCUUACCCGGCAGAAUUACAGGCAGCGGGGAGAGAGCUCGACAAUCCCUUCGGAAGGACAAAAUUUCUGGCAGGAUCUCUGGAAGAUAAAGUGCCCUCCGAGAGUUCAUCAUUUUCUGUGGCCGUUUGCACAUAACAGCCAUCCACUUCUAAGAAAUAUUGAACACAUUGGCGUACAGCUUGACAAUAAGUGUGUAGUCUGCCGUCGACUUCCGGAGGUAAAAAAGCCUGGAGAGUUUGUUCGCUUGAGAAUACUAGACUAA
RNAcentral lists this ribosomal RNA (621 nucleotides) under Triticum aestivum (bread wheat). Its description in RNAcentral is "partial small subunit ribosomal RNA". Lineage: Eukaryota; Viridiplantae; Streptophyta; Magnoliopsida; Poales; Poaceae. The record is from RNAcentral.